RNAcentral lists this ribosomal RNA (253 nucleotides) under uncultured bacterium. RNAcentral describes it as "partial 16S ribosomal RNA". It matches the Rfam family "Bacterial small subunit ribosomal RNA", at positions 524 to 776 of the family's 1533-position model. The record is from RNAcentral.
UACGGAGGGUGCAAACGUUGCUCGGAAUCAUUGGGCGUAAAGCGCACGUAGGCGGCUCGAUAAGUCGGAUGUGAAAUGCCUCGGCUCAACCGAGGACGUGCAUUCGAAACUGCCGAGCUUGAGUAUGGAAGAGGGUCGCGGAAUUCCCGGUGUAGAGGUGAAAUUCGUAGAUAUCGGGAGGAACACCAGUGGCGAAGGCGGCGACCUGGGCCAAUACUGACGCUGAGGUGCGAAAGCGUGGGGAGCAAACAGG